GGGGGUUUGAAGGUGAAGAAUGUUGUUACUGGCGAUGUGUCUGAUUUGAAGGUGUCGGGAUUGUUCUUUGCGAUUGGGCAUGAGCCGGCGACGAAGUUCUUGGAUGGGCAGCUUGAGGUUGAUGAAGAUGGUUAUGUGGUGACGAAGCCUGGUACGACUAAGACGAGUGUGGUUGGUGUGUUUGCUGCUGGAGAUGUUCAAGAUAAGAAGUAUAGGCAGGCUAUUACAGCUGCAGGAACUGGUUCGUUCUUUGCUUCUCUUUUUACCCUUUGAAAUCAUUACUGAAAUGUAUCAUAGAAGCAGCAUCUGAUAUGCUGUGUGCGCUUGUUAUCUACUACCAUAAUGUAUUUAGUUGUUAGGUGUUGGAGAGUCAUUAGCUUUUUAUGAUGGGCUCUUUACGUUCUCAAAGUGACUUUUUGUAUAUCAUUUGAUUUACUUAACAAAGAGUAGGGUAGGCAUGAUUUGUGUUUCCUAUAGAAUGUUGGUCCUUUUUGGCGUUAGAAGCUUCUCUACUAUUCUCAUACAUUGAGAAGACACUGUAAUGGUCAUUAGCUGUUCUAGGUAGGAUGUCCUGAGAGCCUGCAGUUAUAAUUAGACUGUUUCAGGUAUCGAUAUAAAGUUCUUUAAUAUUGCUACAAGAAGAACCAGGCAUAUUUAGCUAUCUUCACUGCUGACGACCAAGUUGAAAUCAGAUUGUUUAGGGGGGGCCUAGGAUAAAUUGUAUUUCUGUCAGACCCAGUUUUUGGAUACCUUUUUAGACAGUGAUUUAUCUUUUUAAUUUCCACUUUCAUAAGCAACACUGAUCACAACUUACGGAUUGGUGCAGGGUGUAUGGCGGCCUUGGACGCAGAGCAUUACUUACAGGAGAUUGGAUCUCAGGAGGGAAAAAGUGAUUAGAUAAGGUGUCGGUGAAGGACCCAUUUAUAAGCUUCUCUCUAUUAUUUGCAGUGUCAUUUGCAGAACUGUCGAAAAGAUAAUCUUAAUGAGGGAGUAUGAGUAGUAGAGUUGUAAGCGUUUGCAGUUGAACUUGAUUCUGGAGUUUGUGCCAAGUUGUAACUCUUUAGUGGGUCACAGAUUUGAGCAAUCUGCUCUUCAUUUGUUCCUCAGGACCUCAUUUGUUCUUCAGUUUGAGUUGAACCGAUUGGAUUUGGAGUCUCUAUAGCUCAAUAAAACUAAAAUGGAUUUCUAGAAAUAUUGGUCAAUUAUUUAGAGAAAACGAUAAAAAUAAUAUUGUUUGUAAUCUACAACACUUCAAAUUUAAUUAUAACAUUUAGACAUAGUUUGCCUUUUUAUUGCAUUUCAAAAUUCAUAUUUUAAAAAUACUUGGGGGUUAUUGGUUGUUGUAUUUUAAUGGAUUUAAAAAUCCGAACUAAAUUUAGUGUUAUUGGUUCUAUGAUUUUUAGUUUUGUAUUAAAAUCAUGUGUUAUUGGUUUAAUGAUUCAUAAAUUAUAUAUUAAAUCAAAUAUUAUUCAGUCGUACAAAUUUACUAAUAAAUUUGAUUUUAUAAUGAAUUUGAAUGAGUUUUUUUGGAUUUUUUUUGUGAAAAAUACAAAGACUCAAAUCAGAAAAAAAUCUUCGGAUUUGUAAAUAUUAAUCCGAAUUUUUUUUAAAAAUCUGCAUAUUUUUUACUUGGAUUUAUAAAUAUUACAUGGAUUUCUAAAUCAAUCAAAAUAUAUAAACCGAUAACACAUAAAUAAUUAUUUCUUAUCAAAAUUAAAGAAGAUUAUUUUUAUUAUUAAACAAUUUACCUUAUCUUAAUAAUAUUUAUAUUUUGUAAAAGUUAUUUUAAAACAUAUAUCAUUAUUUUAAGACAUUUAUAAAAUAUUACUCCCUCCAAUUCAUACUACAGUAAAUGUCGUUGUAUACAAAAUAAUGGCAUUUUGAAUUUUGGUGCAAAAUUUAUUAAUUUUAAAUGUUGUAUGACUAUAUAUUCUACCGUUUAUUUUUCUAUUGAUUAAAAUAUAGUUAAGUGUAUAGUUAAUAAUUUUUUUAUUUAGAAAACAUAUGAAAUUAUAAAUUUUCUUAAUUUGUGUGCACAAAUUUAAAAUAAUUUUUCAGAAAAAUGUAAAUAUGAGAAGAUAAAGAGAGCGUCGAAAUCACGGUUGAUUAAGUUAUUUAGAUAACCCGCUUUGAUUUAGCUGGUUUUUGGACGGGUGAAUAUUAUCCAAGUUUAAUAUGCAAAAUAUUGAAUUUCUCAAUGAACCUCUUUUUAAUUUUUAAAAUAAAGAAACUCAAAGUUCAUAAUAUAAGAGGACAUUUGAGAUCUUUUAUUUUCGAUUUAUGGAAAGAUCAUUUCUGAUUUAGAAUUCUCUAUUUGGCUUAGGCAUUCGGAUUUGGUUUGGUUAAUUCAAAAUUUCAGUUUUUGGUAUUAUAUUUAUAAGUCUUAUAUGGAUUUUACUAACUUGUGGAUGGGGUUCGGUUCAAUAUUUUUUCAGUUUAUAAACAGUAUUUGAAAUCGUAAACUAAAAAAAUAUUCAAAAUAACAAAUAAAAAAUAUCAAAAUCUUUAAAAUAUUCGAAAAUAUCUAAAUUAGUUUAACAUAUAUAAAAAUAAUACGUUUAAUUAAUUUCAAAUAUUUUUAGAUUAUUUUAGUUCAAUUCAUAGCUCUUAAGACCCGUUCCAAUAAUUUUCUGUAACGAUUCCUAUGAGAUUUCAUGGUUCGGGUUAAGGUCGGGACAACCGUUUAGGGUAAACUAAAAACUCACAGGCCUAAGCAGAGCGAGCAGGAGGAGAGGCUUUCUACUCGGAUCUGCUCUCUCCACGCCGUCAUGGAAACUCACAAAGCCAAGGUCUGCAUCGUCGGAAGCGGUCCCGCAGCCCACACAGCAGCGAUCUACGCAGCUAGAGCCGAGCUCACGCCUAUCCUCUUCGAAGGAUGGAUGGCCAACGACAUCGCCCCCGGCGGUCAAUUAACCACCACCACCGACGUCGAAAACUUCCCCGGCUUCCCCGACGGUAUCCUCGGCAUCGACCUCGUCGCGAAGUUCCGUAAGCAAUCGGAGCGAUUCGGCGCCAAGAUCUUCACGGAGACUGUCAACAAAGUCGAUUUCUCCUCGAAGCCGUUUAAGCUUUUCACCAAUACGAGAACCGUCCUCGCCGAGGCCGUGAUCGUCUCCACGGGAGCCGUGGCGAAGCGCCUCAGCUUCCCUGGAUCUGGUGAAGGCGCUGGUGGUUUCUGGAACAGAGGUAUCUCGGCGUGCGCCGUGUGCGACGGAGCUGCUCCGAUUUUUAGGGACAAGCCUCUGGUGGUUAUCGGCGGCGGCGAUUCGGCUAUGGAGGAGGCGAAUUUUCUGACUAGGUAUGGUUCUAAGGUUUAUAUAAUCCACAGGAGAGACAAGUUCAGGGCGUCUAAGAUCAUGCAGAAGAGAGCGUUGUCGAACCCUAAGAUUGAAGUGAUUUUGAACGGUUCGGUGGUUGAGGCGUAUGGAGAUGAGAGUGGGAAAGGCGUUCUUGGGGGUUUGAAGGUGAAGAAUGUUGUUAAUGGUGCUGUGUCUGAUUUGAAGGCUUCUGGAUUGUUCUUUGCGAUUGGGCAUGAGCCAGCGACGAAGUUCUUGGAUGGGCAGGUUGAGCUUGAUGAAGAUGGUUAUGUGGUGACUAAACCUGGUACUACUAAGACUAGCGUGGCUGGUGUGUUUGCUGCUGGUGAUGUUCAAGAUAAGAAGUACAGGCAGGCCGUCACAGCUGCAGGAACUGGUAUGAGUUAGCGUUUAGAAAUCAAGAAUGCUGUGUGCUUGUUAU
RNAcentral lists this long non-coding RNA (3738 nucleotides) under Brassica rapa (field mustard). Its description in RNAcentral is "long non-coding RNA (BRAP_LNC006357)". The record is from RNAcentral. Lineage: Eukaryota; Viridiplantae; Streptophyta; Magnoliopsida; Brassicales; Brassicaceae.